GAGAGAGAGAGAGAGAGAGAGAGAGAGAGAGAGAGAGAGAGAGAGAGAGAGAGAGAGAGAGAGAAUAUUGGCAAGUCUUAACAUUAUAGUAAAGGAAGGAAGGAAGGAAAGUAGAAACGAAAAAAAUAGUAAGGAAAGAAGGAAGGAAAGAAGGAUAAAAUGAAGGAAGGAAAGAAUUAAAAAUGAAGGAAGGUAGGAAGGAAAGAAGGAAGAAAGGAAGUAAAUAUAGAAGAAAGGAAGAAGUGAGAGAGAAGGAGGAAGAGAGGAAGAGAGAAGGAAAACAGAAUGGAGUGAAAGUAAGAAAGACAGGAAGAAAUGCAGAAGGAAGAGAAGAAAGAGAAGGAGGAAAAGGAAGGAGAGGAGGAAAUGGACGAAAUGAAUGGAGGAAAAAAGAUGGAAAGAGGAACGACAUAGAGGAAAAAAAGAUAGAAGAGGAGGAAAAGAGGGAGAGAAAAAGUAUGGAAGGAAGAGAAACACGAAAGAAGGAUGAAAUGGAGAAAAGAUAAAUCAGUUGGAGAGUGAACAUUGAAAUAGGGAAAGGAAAGAAGAGAGGUCAGACAGGAAUAAAAUAAAUGAUGAGAAGCGAGAGAUGAACACGGUACAAGAACAACGAUGGACAGAGAAGCACAACAACAGUGAAGAAUAUUAUGUGGAAAAGAGGAAAAAAACACUGAGACGAGAGAACACUGAACAUAAAGAGGAAAUAAGCAAAAAUGAGAGAAUUAAGCAACAGGAACACGAAGACGAGGUUGAAAUAGAGGAGAUAAACGAGAAUGAAAGAAAUGGGAAAUACGAAAACGAAAAUGAAUAUAAAAGAUAAGGAUGAAAGAGAUAAGCAAGAAUGAGAAAAAUAAAGAGGAAAUAAGCAAAAAUGAGAGAAAUAAGCAACAGGAACACGAAGACGAGGUUGAAAUAGAGGAGAUAAACGAGAAUGAAAGAAAUGGGAAAUACGAAAACGAGAAUGAAUAUAAAAGAUAAGGAUGAAAGAGAUAAGCAAGAGUGAGAAAAAUAAAGAGGAAAUAAGCAAAAAUGAGAGAAAUAAGCAACAGGAACACGAAGACGAGGUUAAAAUAGAGGAGAUAAACGGGAAUGGAAGAAAUGAGAAAUACGAAAACGAGAAUGAGAUUAAAAGAUGAGGAUGAAGAAAAAAGGAGCAAGAAUGAAAGAAAUUAGAAAAAAAAGAACACGAGGUUGAAAAAAAAGAGAAGAUAAACAAGAAUGAAAAUAGAAAUAAGAUGAAGAUAUGAGACCAAAAAAUGAGGAUUGAGAAGAGAUAAACCACAAUGAAAGAAAUGAGAAAUAAGAAGAUGAAGAGUUAAGAAAAAAGACGAGAAUGAAAAAAAGAUAAACAAGAAUGAGAGAAAUGAUAAAUAAGAAGACGAAGAUACGAGAACAGAAGACGAAGAAGAAAAAAACCCCGCUAUAUUUAAGAACAGACGAAAAGAUAGAAACCGAAAAAUAAAGGGAAAAUAGGAACAUGUAAAAGGAAAAUGGGUAAAGAAAAUGGGAAAGGAAAAUGUAAAAAGAAAAUGGGAAAGGAAAACGGGAAAGGAAAAUGUAAAAAGAAAAUGGGAAAGGAAAACGGGAAAGGAAAAUGUAAAAGGAAAAUAGGAAAGGAAAAUAGAAAAGGAAAAUGGGAAACGAAAAUGGGUAAAGAAAAUGGGAAAAGGAAGAUGAGAAAUAGAAAACGGGAAGAGAAAAAUAGAAAAGGAGAAUGGGAAACGAAAAUGGAAAAGGAAAACGGAAAAAGAAAAUGGGAAAAACGAAAAUGGGUAAGGAAAAUGGGAAGUAGAAAACGGGAAAGGAAAAUGGGAAAGGAAAAUGAGAAAACGGGAGAGGAAAACGGGAAAGGAAAAUGAGAAAAACGAAAACGGGAAAGGAAAACGGAAAAGGAAAAUGGGAAAGGAAAAUGAGAAAGGAAAACGGGCAAAAAUUCAAUAAUCCUUUAAAGAUGGAGAAAAAACAGCUUAGCCGUGAAUAUUAAUUAAUAAAUGCAUCUUUGGGGAGGUGGGGGGGGGGGGUCACAUUUCCUUUUGAAGAUUUUAAUUACUUUUUUUUCAGAAUGGUACGAGUGAAGGCGAGUGCGUGUGUACAGACUUAAGAAACCAACACACACACGUACACACAACCUUCCCGUUCAUGUAUGUAUUCCACGUUCAUAUACUUUCAAAACCUUUACUUCUAUGUAUGAUAAAAACGAAGUAAUGUAUGUUGUAGUAGUAGUAGUAGUAGUAGUAGUAGUAGUAGUAGUAGUAGUAGUAGUAGUAGGAGGAGGAGGAGGAGGAGGAGAAGGAGGAGGAGGAAAAGUAGCAGUAGUUAUAGGAGGAGAAGGAGGAGAAGGGAGGAGAGAAGAUGGUUAAGAAGGAGGAGGAGGAAGAGCAGGAAGAAGAGGAGGAGGAGCAAUACAUAGUUACGAUAAUAAUAAUAAUAAUAAUAAUAAUAAUAAUAAUAAUAAUAAUAAUAAUAAUAAUAAUAAUAAUAAUAAUAAUAAUAAUAAUAAUAAUGAGAACUAUUAUAAUUUCCCCUUUAAAAAUUUUCCUCUUAUAUACUUUCUUUUGCUUAGAUCUUCCUUACUUUUCUUUCUCACAAUCACGAAUCACAAUUGUUUAUUUCCUCUUUCUGGACUUGAUGGUUACUACAUGUAUUAGCUUUGUUAUUGUUCUACAUCAAAUGCUACGUUAAUAAAAUACCAUGAAAGAACCGUAGCUCAAAAUAGAUGAAAAAAAUAAUAAAUAAAAUAAUAAAUCACGUAGGGGAAAAUAGAACAGGAAAGCGUGAGGGAAGGAGAAGAUAGAAAACUGAGAAAUCAACUAAAGAUUAAAACAACAACGAUGGAAAUCAUAAUUAUAACACAUGGAAAGCUUUAUGUUUGUUAUUCAGGCGAAAAAAUAAAGAAAACCGAACGGAACGUAAAAAGAUACAUUUUUUUUAGGUUAUUGGUGUUACUUAUUUACCGUUGUAAGGUGUGAGUGAACGUGUGAAGGCCCGCCCAAAGCCCUCGCCAGCCUGUACAAGGAGGGAAUACUGCGAUGGCUAAAAAUAAUAAAAAUAAUAGUAAUAACAAUAAUAACAAUAAUAAUAAUGAAAUAACAAUACCAAUGCGUUUUGUUAAGAGUAUCGGCAAGAUAAUCUUAUUUUUUGGCAUCAGUAAUGGACCGUAUUGGCUAUUCACUCAACUCCGAGCUGAAUUUUCCAUAGAGUUCAAGUUAUAGACUAGAGUGCGUCCGAGGCUGCCUCAGGGAUACACGGCCAUGGUGCCGCCGUCGCCCCAAGCCGAUGAUUGCACACACUUCACUCCUACCCGAUUUCAGUUUUUCUCCAUGUCAAAUAGUAGAGUCAGGAAAUCGGGUAGGAGUAAAGUGUGUGCAGACGUUGGCUUGGAGCGGUGGCGGCACCAAGGCCUUGUAUCCUGGAGGCAGCCUCGGACGCACUCUAGUACAUAAUUUGAGUUCUAUGUAUCUAGUACUGCUUUGACAGUUCACUGAGUGGCCACGUGUGGCGCUGCCUGUAUAGCCAAUACGGUCCAUUCCACGAGACACUUGACAAUUAUAUGCAGCUGAAUGAAAAUAGAUAAAAAAUAAAAUAAUAAUAGUAAUGAUAAUAGUAAUGGCGGGCUUUGGGUGGGUCUGAGAGGGAAUGUUAAAAUGUUAGUUGAAUCACCAUUUAAAAUAAUUAUUCGCCGGGAGCAGCAUUACAAAUACGGGCCUUCCACGGAGCAGGAACUUCGUCAUUUAAAUGUAUUCUGACUUUUCUUUGUUGAUCUUAAACUUUUACUUCGAUCUGAUUACUUUUUUUCACAGGGAGAACAAACAAAACACACUAAAUGCUGAGUAUGAUGGAUGUGUGUGUGUGUGUGUGUGUGUGUGUGUGUGUGUGUGUGUGUGUGUGUGUGUGUGUUCGGGUUUUUCCUUAUUUGCAUGGUUUCACUUGAUGAGUUAUAAGAUCGCACUUUCUCGACUUUCAAAAUCCAAUCUGUAGUGUGUCUGGUAGAAUGUGUGUGUGUGUGUGUGUGUGUGUGUGUGUGUGUGUGUGUGUGUGUGUGUGUGUGUGUGUGUGUGUGUGUGUGUGUGUCAUCCACCCCUGCGCUGCCUCGCGGGAGGGCCACAUUUGCACGGCAGUUCCCUCGCUUGUCUUUUACAAUACGUACUGACAGACAGAAGAAAGUCGAAAUAUAUGUCUAUGAAAAUGUGGCGAAAAUUAUUCUGCCUAUAUCGUGCAUAUGGCUCUGACGUACACAUGUGUGUAUAUAUAUGUAGGUAUUUAUAUGUACAUAUGUAUAUACACAUAAUCAGUAUACAUAUAAGCAGUAAACUGUCUACAUUGCUUGUCGAUGAGAGAAAAUAAUAAUACAAUACACUUCUCGUCUUUUACAAAGGUUUGCUGCUUAACAUAAAAUCCAUUUAUCUUAGAACCUAAAGAAAAGCAUAAAAUCUGCUUAUUGAACAUCAAGCAAACGCCUUUUCACGUAAAAAUUAGAACACAAUACUUCUUCCCUUUAGAACCUCUCCCUCACUGUGCUGUCUUUCAUGUUGUCCUCAAUGAUGAUAAUAAUAAUAAUAAUAAUAAUAAUAAUAAUAAUAAUAAUAAUAAUAAUAAUAAUAAUAAUAAUAAUAAUAAUAAUAAUAAUAAUAACAAUGACAACAACAACAACAACAACGGAACAACCCCUCUCAUAAGAUCAAAAUUUAACAUCCUCGACAAUGUCUUGAUAUGCAGUUAAUAUCAAGUAAUAUAAAAUAAAACUUAGACAGAAUAAAGUUGUUUAUGAAUAAGUAAUUAAAUGCAUAUAAAUGUCUUCAUGAAAUGCCUUCCGUUUUUUCUCACUCUUGAAAUGGCUUAAACAUAUGUCUUAUAAAAGUUAGUCUUACAGAUUGCAGUAAAUAAUAAUAAAAAAUAAUAAUGAUAAUAACACUAAUAGUAAUAAAUGGUAAAAUAUAACACAAAACAGAAAAUAAAGGCAAAUCAAACACAUUACGUUUUCUGUCGCAGCGUCCAGGGGGUGGUGAAGCAGUCCGCCGUGGAGCACAGAAACACGCCGGCCCGCGAAUUGGUUGUAAUGAACUGGUCGCCUGCCCCGCCCUGCCGCCGCCCGCCCGCCCGCCCUCGGCCUGCUAACGCUACACUAGGCUACGAACGAAACAAGAGCCACAAACACCUCGUCCACCUGCCGCGGGUCACCUGAACACAUGAUAAUUAUAACGCCUUAAAUUUUACCUUAACCUGCUGUAUUUUAUUUUUUUUAGUCCUUAAUCUUAUCGUGUUGACGUUCCUCACUCACCCUGUAUCACAGCCAUCAUGAAUUAACAAAGAUUUAGUUUAUACUCACAUCACUAUCAUUCUGUAAAGUAUAAUUAUUAGCUUUACCUCCUAAUCUUAACUCUUACUUUACGGAUUCUUGCCUUAUGGAUAGGAUAUACAUGUAUACAUAGAUAAAAUUUACUCCUCGAUUUCACUAGUCACGGAGAGAAGGGUUGAAACACACACACACAGCCAAAUACGAUCACGGAUGUAAGAUUAAGUUAAGUUCCGAACUCUGCCUGUGGACGUGACUUGGGCCUCGCGGUCACUAACACACCGAACUCUCGUCCUCUCCCUCGCUCCUUCGUCACCGUUGAUGGCAGCGUGGCCGAGCACCCUGUCAGGCCUGUCAUCACUACAACACCCUGGCGGCGUGCAUCAGUCUGUUUAGAUGAGUCUGAAUGGUUAGAAUGAUGCCUAGCCUCCACUCUCUCGCUCACAACUAACCAUACGUGCCUUCUCACUCCCCUCUUAUGGUAAACUCGUAUGGAAGGCUCCUCUCACCUUUUCCUUCCAUUGCAUAUCGUAUAACUUGGAUAGGCUUCCCACUAUCCCUUUUCCUUCCUCCUCUCGCUGUAUAGCAUUGGUUAAUAAUGAAGUUACACAUCUCAGUAAUACGGAAAGACAAGAAGUGAAUGACAAAAGAUAUCAAAAGUGGACUUCCAUCUCGUCAAAACACGAUCAUGAAUUAAAGGUUUUGUGUCCAUAUUCUUAAACUUAUCAGGCUCCAAUUACGAUUAUUUGCUAUGCCACAGAGAAGACUGACCGGGUUUCCAUGGGUGACUAUCACGUUCAAGAUGCAGGAGUCGUGUAAAACUAUCAAUAUGAUCACAAAACAGUCCAUGGAAAUCCCGGCAACUUCUAGAAGAGGCUUUCAAACAAGCGAACUGAAGCGCCGAGACGUUUAAGAAGACGGUUAUGGAUUCCGAGAGGCGAAACAACGAAGGUUAGUCUUGCUUAGGGUGAGAAAGACUAGCCUCCCCUGCUAAAUGACGCCCUCGGACAGAACUCGAACCCUGGUGCCAAUAUAUCGAGAGUUGCGCUAUAUAGCCACUGUGCCACCUAGCCAUGAGGGAGGGAGGGGGGGUGGGAGCCGGGAAGGGGGUGACUGAUAUAAAUGGUACUUCAUCUACAGGCCGUAUUUUGAAACAUUUCGUCGCCCAAGUUCACAUAUUUGACAUGGCUUUCGUAGGAGCUGUAGGCCUUUCCAGGGGUAGUUUUAUGACCCUGGUGGUAGUUUGACCCUUCUUCUGUGCCAUGAACCUUAAAGAACACUCAUGAAAACUCGAUUGAUCUCCUCUUUGACCUUUAUAAAUAGUUGAUGUGAAAAGCGAUGGUGUCUUAAAAUACGGCCCUAAGACUCUAAACAGACUAGUGGCACGCUCUUACCCUCGUUAUCACCAUCAUCAUCAUCUCUAACGCUAGCAUCAUCACAAUCUUGCAACAAACGCUCUGAUCAUCUUACACAAGUCUUAUAACCGAAACUUUUCCCGAAUUUGGAUGGUCUAUGACAAAUAUGGCAUCAUCAUCAUCAUCAUCAUCAUCACCAUCAUCUUCACCGUAACAAAUUACUUAUGGUAUUUGAUUUCACAGCCUCACCAUCACAAGAAUUAUUAUUUUUUUUUUACACCUAAAAGAUUAAGAUCACCACCAAUGCUUUUUUUAUGGUAAGUUUUUUUAGGGGGUGUCAUUAUCAUCA
Molecule: long non-coding RNA, 6997 nt
Organism: Eriocheir sinensis (Chinese mitten crab)
Lineage: Eukaryota; Metazoa; Arthropoda; Malacostraca; Decapoda; Varunidae
Exons: 2
Source: RefSeq, a predicted model, not a curated record